This is a long non-coding RNA of Anguilla anguilla (European eel), 2018 nucleotides long. RefSeq lists it as uncharacterized. The record is from RefSeq and is a predicted model, not a curated record. NCBI's taxonomy places the organism in Eukaryota, Metazoa, Chordata, Actinopteri, Anguilliformes, Anguillidae. The transcript has 3 exons.
UUGUCAUGGAAACGCAUCACUCCCACACCUGUCCGCUAGCCAAAAAACCUCAACUUCAAAUGAACAAAUCACUGGGUGGGAGUGGAGGAAGGGAGGUGUUGGGAGCUAAAAACUUGGAUCACUGCAGCCCCCCUGGUCGCUUUAACCUCAUUAUUUAUUUACAACUAAACACUAAUGCGACUUGCUGCUCUUGGUUUUCGGCACAACAAACACAAAAAACGUCUGGGAGGAAUUCAGUUCCACCCAGAAGCCUGCAGACCUCUCCUGGUGUGCCAGAACAGACCACCUCCUCCCUUUUCAAACGAGGACGACUGCAACAAGCAGCAAGACAGCCACAGACUGCCACGCUCUAAAAUUCAUUUUGGUCUGCCCUCGCUUGUAGUGUUCCUGAGGGAAUGCAUUUGCUCAAUUGCUUCUUACAGCACUAAGGGAAAUUAUUUUUUUUAUUGAAACCAUGCAGGUACUGUGAAUGAAAACAGGAGAGAGGCUGCUGUGCCAAAGCUGUAAGGUACCCAGUAUGGUGAAGGCACUGCAUUGCACCAAACCCAAGAGAAGAGGGACAGAGAGAGAAAGGGAGGGGGGGGAGAAAGAGAAACAAAGAGACAGAGGGAGAGAGGAGGGGGUGAUAGAGCAAGUACAAGAUUAACCAGGAGAGAAAAAAAGAGGGGGAGAGAAACAGAAGGAAGGGGAAAGAGAGAAAGAGAGAGAGAUGGAGGAUCACUUUGGAAGGAUUUCUCCCCGACUGACUGUAGUAGAUAUCAAAGGGGGGCGUGGGACUAUGGCCAGAUUCCAGAACAUUCUCUCUUUCUUGCCUUUUGAUUAAUCUGCACGGAAUCAUUUUUGCAGUUACACUACCUACACAAUCAUUUUUUCACAUCAAUCUUGUCUUCUUCUGUUAAUCUAGAGCAUGUCUAGAUGGUGCACUACACAGAUCUGCCAGAGGGACCAAGCUGAGAAUAGAGCAGACAGAGAGCCUGUUGCCAUUAUGCCCACCCUUUUUAGUUUGACUGUUCACCACUGUGUACCACAUGGAAAAUGAUUGGCGGUAACAUUUCAGGAGAAUCACAUUCCCUCAGAAUUAAGCACUACUUCAGCUGGCGCGCUGAGGGGAAAGACGGCUGUAGCAGUGCUGGACGGUUCGGAGGUGGACAAGCUAAAAUAAAACCACAUGGAUCAAUCCUGUGCACCUGGAUAUAGCCGUAACCAGGAUUCCAGGAAACUGCAUUUAUAUCAGUCAACAAGGCAACUCCACAUGGUCACUUGCUGUCUAUCAACAUGCUAAAUACAAGUUCACUUAGAGUCUACCAACACACAAAUUCUACAGGUUGAAAGAAGAGAGAUUGAGAAGGGACCACAGCUGAGGAAGACCACGGCGGAGGACCAAAUCCUUGCCUGCACAAGGGGACCUGUUCUCGGUCGAAGAGUUGGCCGCCCCACAGACCAUGUCACUUGCCCCACCAUGAAUGACAAGCUUUGAUUCUACUGAUGACAAUUAAAAGUAACUCAGCAUCGGGGAAGCUAAAUGCUAGGUCGUGAUAAAGCUAGCUUGUAGCUAUCCAGCAGAGAGUUUCUGUCAUUGAAACACCAUCUUUAGAAAUGUUUCCCUCCUCAGAACUAGGGACUGUGUUCAGCAGGUUGUCAUUGAUUGAAACGCUUCCUUAAAUCUCCUGAAGUGCUCUGAUGACAUUUCAGGUAAAACACAACCCCUGGGUCUGAAGAGGGAAACAUAUUAGAAGAUGUGCGUUACUUAGAUCCAUUGAAUCUGUAAGUGGGAAAUUUACAGUUAAUCUGUGCCUAAGAAAGCUAAACACUGGGUGUGGCUUGUUUUUGAGCCAGCUACCUUGUAUGCAGCCAUGAAGGCCUCUUAUCAGGCUCUCUGAGGAAUUCUGGGGACUCUGUUUGAAGGUCAUGUCCACUUUUCUUUUCUUUUUUUCAUACAUCUCUCAAUGCAGCAUAUUUUAAUCAUCACUGCAAUGUUUGUAGAGGAAAAUCGUAAUUAAAUGUACAGUAUGUACCAU